AAGAAAGUGACUGCCGCCCCGCACAGGGGCGAAGCCAAUAGACCAAUAUCAAAACAAGUUUCAUAGAAGCCGAAGCGCAUCAAACGGUUCAACAAACCCCAACCCCAAGCGCCAACG
Molecule: small RNA, 117 nt
Rfam family: Burkholderia sRNA Bp1_Cand684_SIPHT
Source: Rfam